GCUAGAGGAGCCCAGGCUGAGAGAGAAAUGUGGGCUGGAAGGCUCCAAGCAAAUCUGCAGCAACUCUGCAAGUGAGAGCAACCAGUAGUGGGGACGCAGAGACAUGGAGCCUACAGCCUGGGUGUCCAGCCUGUCACAUGGGUGCCACAAGUGACAUGCAGCAGACUGGUGAGGAGACCAGCAGCACAGUGGCAUAUAGAACAAGGAGCAGAAAGAAGAGCAGCAGGUCAGGAAGGGAGCACACAGCAAGCAGCAGAAACCUGAGUAACAGAUGAGAAAAUCAGGGUUCCUGGUCAUCACCAAUUGGAAGCCCAUGUACAGCUGCCAGCCUCACCAGCACUAGAUAUGUGGCAUGGCAGAAAAGCAAAGUGGGUGGUUACCCCAGGACCAGGGCAGCCAGUGGAGACCCGAUGAGGAGGCCACUCUGUUACAGUGUGCAUGGAGGACCAAAGCUGAUGUAGGAGUACAAGGCCUCUAAGAGAUGGCUUUAAUCUACCCAUAGAGUGCAUGGAUUCACCAGGACUGGAAAUGAUGAAUGGAGAGGAAAUCCCCAUUUGCUAAGGAAUUGUAGGGGCACCAUGUAUUUUCACAGCUUCAUUUAGAAAACUUUCUCUGUCUCUGUUUGCCUUGAACACCUUUUAAAAAAAAAAGGGGUAUUUAAGUGCUUUACUUCCUAUUUUCAACCUACUUGUUAUGGGGAGAAAAAGAACAAAUAUAGAUUUAUUUUAUGGACCAUGAGAACAAUAUGCACCUUCUAGACAAUGGUUAUCGAGUCCUGUUCCUUCAUCAUGACAUCUUAUAUCUAAGCACAAUAUUUUAAGAAGGAUGAUCCUGAAAGGAGGAAGUAGAGAUACUGGAGAGUAUCCCCAAAGUGAGCAGAAAACAUUACCAACAUGAUGGAAUGCAAGCAGUAUGAUGAAAAUAAAGUAUGUUUAGUCAGAAGAAAAGUUGAUUAAGGAGGGAUACAAGGACAAUGUUCAGAUACUUGA
Alligator sinensis (Chinese alligator) is the source of this 989-nucleotide long non-coding RNA. RefSeq lists it as uncharacterized. NCBI's taxonomy places the organism in Eukaryota, Metazoa, Chordata, Crocodylia, Alligatoridae. The transcript has 4 exons. The record is from RefSeq and is a predicted model, not a curated record.